RNAcentral lists this ribosomal RNA (253 nucleotides) under uncultured bacterium. RNAcentral describes it as "partial 16S ribosomal RNA". It matches the Rfam family "Bacterial small subunit ribosomal RNA", at positions 524 to 776 of the family's 1533-position model. The record is from RNAcentral.
UACGAAGGGGGCUAGCGUUGCUCGGAAUCACUGGGCGUAAAGGGUGCGUAGGCGGGUCUUUAAGUCAGGGGGGAAAUCCUGGAGCUCAACUCCAGAACUGCCUUUGAUACUGAGGAUCUUGAGUUCGGGAGAGGUGAGUGGAACUGCGAGUGUAGAGGUGAAAUGCGCAGAUAUCGUCAAGAACACCUAUAGCGAAGGCAGCUUACUAAGCUGUAACUGACGCUGAGGCACGAAAGUGUGGGGAUCAAACAGG